Molecule: ribosomal RNA, 506 nt
Filed under: uncultured bacterium
Lineage: Bacteria
Description: partial 16S ribosomal RNA
Rfam family: Bacterial small subunit ribosomal RNA
Source: RNAcentral
AUUGAACGCUGGCGGCAGGCCUAACACAUGCAAGUCGGACGGUAGCACAGAGGAGCUUGCUCCUCGGGUGACGAGUGGCGGACGGGUGAGUAAUGUCUGGGGAUCUGCCCGAUAGAGGGGGAUAACCACUGGAAACGGUGGCCAAUACCGCAUAACGUCGCAAGACCAAAGAGGGGGACCUUCGGGCCUCACACCAUCGGAUGUGCCCAGAUGGGAUUAGCUAGUAGGUGGGGUAAUGGCUCACCUAGGCGACGAUCCCUAGCUGGUCUGAGAGGAUGACCAGCCACACUGGAACUGAGACACGGUCCAGACUCCUACGGGAGGCAGCAGUGGGGAAUAUUGCACAAUGGGCGCAAGCCUGAUGCAGCCAUGCCGCGUGUAUGAAGAAGGCCUUCGGGUUGUAAAGUACUUUCAGCGGGGAGGAAGGCGGUGAAGUUAAUAACUUCACCGAUUGACGUUACCCGCAGAAGAAGCACCGGCUAACUCCGUACCAGCAGCCGCCGUAA